AUAAUAUGGAAGAGAUAGCUUAGCCGGCCGGCAAGUCAUCCUUGGCUGCAGUACUGUACCUCAUUUAAACAUGCUAGACCUUAGAUGAAGAAAUCCGGCAUCGAUCCAUAAAUGUAUCAGCAAAGAGUUUGAAGAACAAUGGGUGCCAUAUAAUGGAGAAUGAGGUUGACAUAUAUACGUGAAGGCCUUGGGUGAGUGGAUGUGACCACUGCAUGGGUCCUGCAGUCAGCAUAGUAAAAGCCCUAUAACGUGUUAAUUUCAUCCAACUAAUACGAUAAUUUACUUCUAUUAAUUCAUGUAAUUACUUUUAAGAACUAACAUGAGUAUUUUUCGAACUUCUUUUAUACAAAAAAAGAAAAAAAGAAAAAAUAAAAGCUGACAGUAUCUUAUUGCGUA
Gossypium arboreum is the source of this 396-nucleotide long non-coding RNA. RefSeq lists it as uncharacterized. The transcript has 2 exons. NCBI's taxonomy places the organism in Eukaryota, Viridiplantae, Streptophyta, Magnoliopsida, Malvales, Malvaceae. The record is from RefSeq and is a predicted model, not a curated record.